GUGUGUAUGCCUGUGUGUGUGUGUGUCAGUAUGUCUGUGUGUAUGCCAGUAUGUCUGUGUGUGUGUGUGUGUGUGUCAGUAUGUCUGUGUGUAUGCCAGUAUGUCUGUGUGUGUAUGCCAGUAUGUCCAGUAUGUCUGUGUGUGUGUGUCAGUAUGUCCCAGUAUGUCUGUGUGUGUAUGCCAGUAUGUCUGUGUGUGUGUGUGUGUGUCAGUAUGUCUGUGUGUAUGCCAGUAUGUCUGUGUGUGUAUGUCAGUGUGUGUGUGUGCGUAUGUCUGUGUGUGUGUGUGUGUCAGUAUGUCUGUGUGUAUGCCAGUAUGUCUGUGUGUGUGUGUGUCAGUAUGUCUGUGUGUGUGUGUAUGUAGGUAUGUCUCUGUGUGUGUG
Molecule: non-coding RNA, 382 nt
Organism: Pelobates cultripes (western spadefoot toad)
Lineage: Eukaryota; Metazoa; Chordata; Amphibia; Anura; Pelobatidae
Source: the annotation of a GenBank genome assembly